UACGGAGGGAGCGAGCGUUGUCCGAAGUUACUGGGCGUAAAGCGCGCGUAGGCGGGGGAUUAAGUGAGAAGUGAAAGGCUGGGGCUCAACCCCAUGCAGUGCUUCUCAUACUGGUCCUCUUGAGGGUGGUAGAGAGAAGUGGAAUGGCGUGGUGUAGCGGGUGAAAUGGCGUAGAUAUCGAGUCGGAACACCGGUGGCGAAGGCGGCUUCUUGGGCCAAUUUCUGACGCUGGAGGCGCGAAAGCUAGGGAGCGAACGG
This 258-nucleotide ribosomal RNA is filed under the name uncultured bacterium. Its description in RNAcentral is "partial 16S ribosomal RNA". It matches the Rfam family "Bacterial small subunit ribosomal RNA", at positions 524 to 775 of the family's 1533-position model. The record is from RNAcentral.